This 497-nucleotide ribosomal RNA is filed under the name uncultured bacterium. RNAcentral's name for it is "partial 16S ribosomal RNA". It matches the Rfam family "Bacterial small subunit ribosomal RNA", at positions 28 to 507 of the family's 1533-position model. The record is from RNAcentral.
GAUGAACGCUGGCGGCGUGCCUAAUACAUGCAAGUCGAGCGAACGGACGAGAAUCUUGCUUUUCUGAUGUUAGCGGCGGACGGGUGAGUAACACGUGGAUAACCUACCUAUAAGACUGGGAUAACUUCGGGAAACCGGAGCUAAUACCGGAUAAUAUUUUGAACCGCAUGGUUCAAAAGUGAAAGACGGUCUUGCUGUCACUUAUAGAUUGAUCCGCGCUGCAUUAGCUAGUUGGUAAGGUAACGGCUUACCAAGGCAACGAUGCAUAGCCGACCUGAGAGGGUGAUCGGCCACCCUGGAACUGAGACACGGUCCAGACUCCUACGGGAGGCAGCAGUAGGGAAUCUUCAGCAAUGGGCGAAAGCCUGACGGAGCAACGCCGCGUGAGUGAUGAAGGUAUUCGGAUCGUAAAACUCUGUUAUUAGGGAAGAACAUAUGUGUAAGUAACUGUGCACAUCUUGACGGUACCUAAUCAGAAAGCCACGGCUAACUACGUG